UUAAGGGCGGUUUAUAGGUUGAAUGUGGCUUUGUCUAUUUAUGCAAGAUUUAGUGUUAAAUAAUUUUUAGUGCAGUUAUUAGUAUUGUAGAUCCAGUUAUUUGGGAUGCAGGAAUAGUCUGUAGCACUGACACAAUUUGUGCCAGCAGUCGCGGUUAUACAAAUAGUGCUAUUCAAUUUGAUUGGUUGUGAGUUAGUUUAUUUGACUUAUUUUGAUAAUAAUGAUAUAAUUUGAAGGUGAAAUUUUAAUUUUAUGGUAAAGUCAAAAGGAUUAUUGAAUGAGGCUCAGAAAUUUUUUCUUUAGACUAGGAUUAGAUACCCUGUUAUUAAAAACGUUAAUUUUUAAAGCUAGAUUAGUAUAAGUUAAGGUCUUGAAAAUCAAACAUUUUGGCGGUAUAUUAAUCUCUUCAGAGGAACCUGCCCUGUAAUCGAUAGUCCACGAGAUGUUUAACUUUUUUAAGUGCUUGUAUAUCGUCGUUGUUUGAAUAUUUUUUGAAAAUUUUAAUGUUCUAAGGUUUUCAUGGGAAAGAAGAUCAGAUCAAGGUGCAGUAUUAGAAAGAAGUGGUGGGUUACAUUAUAGUUAUAUGAAGAUUUGAAAGUUUUGAAUUUCGAGGAAUUUGGAUUUGACAGUAAUUUUAUUGAGUUAAUUAUUAUGAAUUGAGCUCUAAAAUAUGUACAUAUCGCCCGUCGCUUUCAUUGUUUUAUGAAAUAAGUCGUAACAAAGCAGGUUUACUGGAAAGUGGUCCUGGAAUGUC
Molecule: non-coding RNA, 754 nt
Filed under: Lachnaia pubescens
Lineage: Eukaryota; Metazoa; Arthropoda; Insecta; Coleoptera; Chrysomelidae
Source: RNAcentral